Molecule: ribosomal RNA, 419 nt
Filed under: uncultured bacterium
Lineage: Bacteria
Description: bacterial SSU rRNA
Rfam family: Bacterial small subunit ribosomal RNA
Source: RNAcentral
AGGAAUAUUGGACAAUGGCCGCAAGGCUGAUCCAGCCAUCCAGCGUGCAGGAAGAAGGCCCUACGGGUUGUAAACUGCUUUUGUCAGGGAAGAAACCUCUGGAUUUACUCCGGAGCUGACGGUACCUGAAGAAUAAGCACCGGCUAACCCCGUGCCAGCAGCCGCGGUAAUACGGAGGGUGCGAGCGUUAUCCGGAAUUACUGGGUUUAAAGGGUGCGUAGGCGGCUAUGUAAGUCAGGAGUGAAAGUUUGCGGCUCAACCGUAAAAUUGCUUUUGAUACUGCAUGGCUGGAAUCAGGAUGAGGUCAGCGGAAUGUGGCAUGUAGCGGUGAAAUGCAUAGAUAUGCCAUAGAACACCAAUUGCGAAGGCAGCUGACUAGACCUGUAUUGACGCUGAGGCACGAAAGCGUGGGGAGCGAA